This is a non-coding RNA of Podarcis lilfordi (Lilford's wall lizard), 416 nucleotides long. The record is from the annotation of a GenBank genome assembly. Lineage: Eukaryota; Metazoa; Chordata; Lepidosauria; Squamata; Lacertidae.
CCUGAGCCUGGCUUUGGCUGGGGAGGGCGGGAUAUAAAUAAAAUUUAUUAUUAUUAUUAUUAUUGGCUGAUUGACAUCUAAUGCCCUUUAAAAAUGUGGCGGGGAGGGGGGUUACAGAUGUUUAUUUUCUAUUUUUUUAUUGUACUUUUAUGUUGUAACUGUCCUGAGACUUGUGGGUGUAGAGAAUAGGAGCCUUCUCUUAGAGGCCUAGGGUUCUUUGCCCCCCCAUUAAAAUAUUUGAGGGGGUCACCCCUCAGUUGGUACACAUUGACAUUCCAAUGGCGCACAUGCAUCAUGUCAUUGAUUGUGCAAGGCGGGCCUUACAUGCCCCCCCCCAAUAUUUUAUUCCAGUUGGUACCACUGGGUCGAAUGGUAUACAAAUUAAAUAAAUAAAUAAAUCACUUUUCUUUGCACAU